UAUUAUUAAACAUAACGAAAUUGCGCCAAACAUAAAUGCAUACGGCACGCUUCGAAAUACUGCAAGGGUGAUUACGAAAUAACGAUCGAACAGCCGUUUCAUUGCUUAUUUUCAUAUAUGUUUAUAGAUUACAAGAAUUGACAAGGCGGUCAGUGGAGACUACAUUAGCUCAGAGUAUCAGUGUCAAAUAUAGUGUUCAUAAUGCUUCAUAAAUGUAAUUAUUUAAUGCUUACUCACAACAGUUUAGAGACUACAAGAAUUGACAAGGUAGUCCAUAGAUAAGUAAACAUAAAGGUAGUCCGUGGAGACUACAUUGGAUCAAAAUCAAUUACAUAUAUCUAUGUUACAUGCCGUUACAUCCGUCUGAGCUGCCAGAAAGAUAUUUCACUUUCUUUUUGGACUUGCUGGGAGCAAACAUUUGAGGCACAUAUAACAAUGGAAACCCUUUUCCAGAAGAAGCUAUGAUUAUUUUGGAGAACCUUGCAUUGUAGUGAGGUGGAGUGUACAUUGACCACACAAUCUUAAUUUUUAAGCAAAUGUAUUUUAUCAUGGAACUACUUCUUUUUUACUCGCGGGGAGACUAAAUAGCUUAUUCAUUUUAAAUGAAUAUGAAGGAGCAAUUAAGACAUAUUUUUUAUGGAUUCCAAAUAGUGCAGGAAAUCUUUAGUGAGUAUAGAUUAAGAAUUAAAUUUUUCUUUAAUCAUCUUGGAAUUUUAGCAAUUGAAAUCAGUUGAAGCCUUUCACAAAUAUACUAUUUAUGGCAUGAAGUUUGUGAGUCAGUGAUCCUAGUGAUCGCAUUCAUCAAACGGUAGUUGUCUAAUUCAGUUCAGGCAAUUUGACUUAAGAAAUACGCCUGCAGAAAUACAAAAAUUGCGCAUUAUCAAAUUGCAAGGUGAUUGGAUUGGAUUGGAACAAGUACAAGCACAAGCCAACUGGCAUAUUUAUCGGCCACUGUGAUUAUUACACCACAAUCAGCUAGAAUGAUACAACG
Ctenocephalides felis (cat flea) is the source of this 991-nucleotide long non-coding RNA. RefSeq lists it as uncharacterized. Lineage: Eukaryota; Metazoa; Arthropoda; Insecta; Siphonaptera; Pulicidae. The record is from RefSeq and is a predicted model, not a curated record. The transcript is spliced from 5 exons.